This 233-nucleotide non-coding RNA is filed under the name Ulva meridionalis. The record is from RNAcentral. Lineage: Eukaryota; Viridiplantae; Chlorophyta; Ulvophyceae; Ulvales; Ulvaceae.
UAGUAAAGUUCAAAAGCAUAUUAAUUUUUUUUCUAAUACAGCCAAGUCCGUAAUUCCCUUAGAGUUAAUUAUUUAUCGCAGUUUCUGCGAACCAGCUGGUUUGAAUUAUUUUACUGCUUUAGAAAAUAGAUUAUCUAAAAGCCGUUUAAAUAUAAAUUUUUCUAACGCUUUAUUUAGGCGAAUAUCAAAUAAUGGCUUUAUUCCUAAUUAUACGAAUACACAAACUGGCUUAA